Rhipicephalus microplus (southern cattle tick) is the source of this 1184-nucleotide long non-coding RNA. NCBI's taxonomy places the organism in Eukaryota, Metazoa, Arthropoda, Arachnida, Ixodida, Ixodidae. The record is from RefSeq and is a predicted model, not a curated record.
CCAAGCGUGCAACAGCUAUUGUCCACGAUGUCUGCGAUGGUGACCACACAGUAUGCGGAGCAACAUGUGCCGGAACACAGCCAAAAGAGCGAGCAACGCAGUGAGUCCAUUUAUUUAUUUAUUUAGAGAAUACUGCUGGCCCAUUUAGAGGCCCUAGCAGGAGAGGACACAAAUGCAUUCAAGUAUUGAAUUAUACAUGAUAUAUACAGUCAGAUUAGUACAAAGAACACCAAGCACUGUAACGACAAAAAUCAAAGUAGAAAAAUCGAUAUCAAGACAAACUAAAACAGGUUGGUGCUUAUAUAUGCCUAUAAGCUCUACAUUAAUACCAACACAGCAGAAUACCACAACUCUCUAACACCUGUGUCGGGUGACGUGCAACUGGUAACGUCUGUACAAAUGUCUCAAGCACUUUUUCUUUUCAGGUACAGGCUGUGAGGGGACGGCGGGAGAAACAAAGCUGUUGCUCGACUACUACCAGCAGUAUUUUUCCCAAAUAUGGCCAAUGAAGAAAUUUAAAAAUAAAAAGGCAAUGUUUGCCAGAAUAGCGGCCAACAUCACAGAGGCUGUCGGGGUCCCUAAAACAGGGGACCAGUGCUGCAGCCGCUACAAAACAGUCAUGCGACGAAAAAGAAGCGCUGUAGCACAUAACAACAAAUCGGUGAAUUCUCCUUGCGACGUUCCCUUUGAAGACGACAUAGCCAAAAUACGUUGGCUAGAUGACAGCCUUGAGCCAGAAGAGCUCAGGGACAGCUCUUGAAUAGUCUCUAUUAAAAUACCGCCCAGCCAAGCGUCGACUAGCCAAUCGUCGACAAGCCAAGCAUCGAGUAGCCAGGAGCUGUCAAGCCAAGGUUCAACUAGCCAGGAGUUGACCAGCACAACGAAGGAACCUGAGCCCAAAAAGCCAAAACUCUCGGCUUCUAGAAUGCUGGAAAUGAAUCACUUCUUUGAUGAAAUGAGCAGAAUUCAGGAAGAAAAAGAAAAAAAAACGAACUGAACGCGAGAAUGAAAGAAGGAAGCGUCAUGAAGAGAGGCAAGAACAGAAGGAGCACAUUUGGCUAGAAAAAGCAAAACAGCAUGAAGAAAAAAUGAAGCUUUUGAGCCGCUUUCUUGGCUUAGACAAUGAAUGAUUCCAGUGGCCUAAAAUACUAUUAGCAUGUUGAAAUAAAAUGUGCAGUGCAAAA